Molecule: non-coding RNA, 71 nt
Organism: Phrynosoma platyrhinos (Desert horned lizard)
Lineage: Eukaryota; Metazoa; Chordata; Lepidosauria; Squamata; Phrynosomatidae
Source: the annotation of a GenBank genome assembly
GCCCAUGUGACAUAGUGGUUUGAGUACUGGACUACAACUCUGGAGACCAGGGUUCAAUUCCUGGUUCGGCG